GCUGAACUUAAGCAUAUCAAUAAGCGGAGGAAAAGAAACCAACAGGGAUUGCCUUAGUAACGGCGAGUGAAGCGGCAACAGCUCAAAUUUGAAAUCUGGCCUCUACAGGGUCCGAGUUGUAAUUUGUAGAGGAUGCUUCGGCGUUGGCCCCGGCCUAAGUUCCUUGGAACAGGACGUCAUAGAGGGUGAGAAUCCCGUAUGUGGCCGAUGUCCCUCGCCAUGUGAAGCUCCUUCGACGAGUCGAGUUGUUUGGGAAUGCAGCUCUAAAUGGGAGGUAAAUUUCUUCUAAAGCUAAAUACUGGCCAGAGACCGAUAGCGCACAAGUAGAGUGAUCGAAAGAUGAAAAGCACUUUGGAAAGAGAGUCAAAAAGUACGUGAAAUUGUUGAAAGGGAAGCGCUUGCAACCAGACCUGCCCGUGGCUGCUCAUCCAGGCUUCUGCCUGGUGCACUCUUCUGCGGUCAGGCCAGCAUCGGUUUGGGCGGUCGGACAAAGGCGGCGGGAAUGUGACUCCCUUCGGGGAGUGUUAUAGCCCGUCGUGCAAUGCGGCCAGUCCGGACCGAGGUCCGCGCUUCGGCUAGGAUGCUGGCGUAAUGGUUGUAAGCGGCCCGUCUUGAAACACGGACCAAGGAGUCUAACAUCUGUGCGAGUGUUUGGGUGUCAAGCCCGGGCGCGUAAUGAAAGUGAACGGAGGCGGGAACCCUAGGGUGCACCGUCGACCGAUCCUGAUGUCUUCGGAUGGAUUUGAGUAAGAGCAUAGCUGUUGGGACCCGAAAGAUGGUGAACUAUGCCUGAAUAGGGUGAAGCCAGAGGAAACUCUGGUGGAGGCUCGCAGCGGUUCUGACGUGCAAAUCGAUCGUCAAAUUUGGGCAUAGGGGCGAAAGACUAAUCGAACUAUCUAGUAGCUGGUUCCUGCCGAAGUUUCCCUCAGGAUAGCAGUAACGUAUUCAGUUUUAUGAGGUAAAGCGAAUGAUUAGAGGCCUGGGGGUUGAAACAACCUUCACCUAUUCUCAAACUUUAAAUAUGUAAGAAGUCCUUGUUACUUAGUUGAACGUGGACAUUUGAAUGUACCGUUACUAGUGGGCCAUUUUUGGUAAGCAGAA
This 1101-nucleotide ribosomal RNA is filed under the name Hysterium pulicare. RNAcentral's name for it is "eukaryotic LSU rRNA". It matches the Rfam family "Eukaryotic large subunit ribosomal RNA", at positions 27 to 1149 of the family's 3401-position model. Lineage: Eukaryota; Fungi; Ascomycota; Dothideomycetes; Hysteriales; Hysteriaceae. The record is from RNAcentral.